RNAcentral lists this ribosomal RNA (882 nucleotides) under uncultured fungus. Its description in RNAcentral is "eukaryotic LSU rRNA". The stretch from base 433 to 586 matches the Rfam family "5.8S ribosomal RNA". The record is from RNAcentral. Lineage: Eukaryota; Fungi.
UUCUUGGUCAUUUAGAGGAAGUAAAAGUCGUAACAAGGUUUCCGUAGGUGAACCUGCGGAAGGAUCAUUAAAGAAAUUUAAUAAUUUUGAAAAUGGAUUUUUUUGUUUUGGCAAGAGCAUGAGAGCUUUUACUGGGCAAGAAGACAAGAGAUGGAGAGUCCAGCCGGGCCUGCGCUUAAGUGCGCGGUCGUGCUAGGCUUGUAAGCUUCUUUCUUGCUAUUCCAAACGGUGAGAGAUUUCUGUGCUUUUGUUAUAGGACAAUUAAAACCGUCUCAAUACAACACACUGUGGAGUUUUCAUAUCUUUGCAACUUUUUCUUUGGGCAUUCGAGCAAUCGGGGCCCAGAGGUAACAAACACAAACAAUUUUAUCUAUUCAUUAAAUUUUUGUCAAAAACAAGAAUUUUCGUAACUAGAAAUUUUAAAAUAUUAAAAACUUUCAACAACGGAUCUCUUGGUUCUCGCAUCGAUGAAGAACGCAGCGAAAUGCGAUACAUAAUGUGAAUUGCAGAAUUCCGUGAAUCAUCGAAUCUUUGAACGCACAUUGCGCCCCUUGGUAUUCCAGGGGGCAUGCCUGUUUGAGCGUCAUUUCCUUCUCAAACAUUCUGUUUGGUAGUGAGUGAUACUCUUUGGAGUUAACUUGAAAUUGCUGGCCUUUUCAUUGGAUGUUUUUUUUCCAAAGAGAGGUUUCUCUGCGUGCUUGAGGUAUAAUGCAAGUACGGUCGUUUUAGGUUUUACCAACUGCGGCUAAUCUUUUUUUAUACUGAGCGUAUUGGAACGUUAUCGAUAAGAAGAGAGCGUCUAGGCGAACAAUGUUCUUAAAGUUUGACCUCAAAUCAGGUAGGAGUACCCGCUGAACUUAAGCAUAUCAAUAAGCGGAGGAA